RNAcentral lists this long non-coding RNA (1195 nucleotides) under Coturnix japonica (Japanese quail). RNAcentral describes it as "lncRNA (ENSCJPG00005020141.1)". The record is from RNAcentral. Lineage: Eukaryota; Metazoa; Chordata; Aves; Galliformes; Phasianidae.
CACCAGCUACAGACAGAACAGCUAUUCCCUCCAAGCAGUGCUGCACUCCCUGCUCUGAGGUACCUCAGCAUUUCCCGCCCAAACGCCACAGCCCAGCACGAGCUGCUCUGUGCUCCUGAGGAACCUCUGUGUCUCCUGAGCCCUUGGAGGCAUUUCACACAGCAAUAUUUCACACAGCAAUAUUGCCCUGUCCAGGCUUGGUAUUACCUCAGUUUCCUGAGCAACACCCAGUACCAUCCCUGUACAUUUCUCCCUGCCAUACAGGCCUGUGUGCCCACACAGCUGUGUCACCGAGCUCACAGACAUCAGGAUGAAGCCACCAGGCCCUGCACAAGAAUGGAGCAACAGCGGGGCAGGCAACAGCAGUUUUCAGUCAAAGUGCAAGAACAAGACCCUGCUGUCAGUCCCUUCAGGAAACAACCAAGAGCUUUCACCCUAGAAAGGAAAGGAAACAGAUCAGAUUUAUUCCUCAUCCCUUUCCCAGUCCUGGGAUCAAUAGCAUCUAAAUGAACUGACAUGGGAUACUGAAAACUCCAGGUUCUUUGUGCAUAGGAAAAAGCACUACACACUGAGCCUAAAGGAUUUGUUCAGAAUUCACAGGUUGUCUUACCAUUGGAAAUGGCCGAGUGCAGCCAAUUUGGUGAUUUAUUCUUUUUCUCCCUAAAGUAAAAUAUUUUAGACUUAAAUGAAAGUCUGACACACUUAAGGUAUUAGCAGAUGCCAUAGAGGGGAUGCAUCUGGUUUCCAUUGUAAAUCUGCCAGAGGUUAGUUUCUCUUCUGGGAGUGUAUGCAUCAUAAUAACAUCUCAUUAUGUGAGGGCAUAAUAAUAACAGUGCAUAGAGAGCAAUAUUAAUGGGACAUAAGCAACUCCAAUUCUUGCAUUUCUCGAGUGUAUGGCUCUGCACCUUUCAAUGUAUCCUUCUAAAGUAUAGCUUUACAACUCAUUUCCCACCUGCAAAGUCUUUUAAAAAAGCAACCAACCUUCCUCUCUGUUCCCAAUAUUUAAUCUUUGUCACACUGCAAUGGCCCCAGAUUAGCAGGUCUGGAGCAUUCUGAGUCUCUCUGCAGACCUCUGCCAUAUCAGCCAACAGAGGUACUUGGAGCCCUGCACCAUUAGGAUGUUACUGAAGUUUGCUGGCAGUAGAGGAACACGCUUUCCUUUCAUUAAGAAAUAAUGUAACGGUGCUAAAUUAUA